GGGUCAGUAGGUUGGUCGUGCCACCGGUACGUACUGGUCUCACUGAUUCCUCCUUCCUGAAGAACCGUAAUGCCAUUAAUUUGGUGUUGCGGGGAAACAGGACUGUUACUUUGAAAAAAUUAGAGUGUUUAAAGCAAGCGAACGCUUGAAUACAUUAGCAUGGAAUAAUGAAAUAGGACGAUCGAUCCUAUUUUGUUGGUUUCUAGGAUUGACGUA
RNAcentral lists this ribosomal RNA (216 nucleotides) under Glomeromycotina sp. RNAcentral's name for it is "partial small subunit ribosomal RNA". The stretch from base 40 to 216 matches the Rfam family "Eukaryotic small subunit ribosomal RNA", at positions 686 to 864 of the family's 1831-position model. The record is from RNAcentral. Lineage: Eukaryota; Fungi; Glomeromycota.